UACGGAAGGCAGCAGUGGGGAAUAUUGCACAAUGGGCGCAAGCCUGAUGCAGCCAUGCCGCGUGUAUGAAGAAGGCCUUCGGGUUGUAAAGUACUUUCAGUCGUGAGGAAGGUGUUAAGGUUAAUAACCUUAGCAAUUGACGUUAGCGACAGAAGAAGCACCGGCUAACUCCGUGCCAGCAGCCGCGGUAAUACGGAGGGUGCGAGCGUUAAUCGGAAUUACUGGGCGUAAAGGGCACGCAGGCGGUUAAUUAAGUUGGAUGUGAAAUCCCCGGGCUUAACCUGGGAAUGGCAUUCAAGCUGGUUAGCUAGAGUCUUGUAGAGGGGGUAGAAUUCCAUGUGUAGCGGUGAAAUGCGUAGAGAUGUGGAGGAAUACCGGUGGCGAAGGCGGCCCCUGGACAAAGGACUGACGCUCAUGUGCGAAAGCGUGGGGAGCAAAC
RNAcentral lists this ribosomal RNA (439 nucleotides) under uncultured bacterium. RNAcentral describes it as "bacterial SSU rRNA". It matches the Rfam family "Bacterial small subunit ribosomal RNA", at positions 340 to 773 of the family's 1533-position model. The record is from RNAcentral.